GGAGUGGUGCCUGGUCGUCUCUGCAGUGGUGCAAGAGGUGGUAGGAUGUACUUAACAUUCAGUUGCUUAACUCUGUUGCCAUUUUUUCACUGCUAGCAUGUACUUCCAGCUGAUUCUCUAUGGACUGCAGUUCCUUAACAUUCAGUCCAGAUAGAUCUUCUCCCAUCAACAGCCUGUAGUAAGUCAAUCUAAAAAUAUUGUUACACUGCAUUAUAUCUCAUUUACGGUUAGGCAAAAUGUUCUUGUGAUAAGAGGUUUAGCAUUAUAUUUUCUCUAGUAAAUAUGGACAGUCAAAGUCACAAAUUUAUAAUAUAAUUAGAAAAAAUACACCAAUUUGUCCCAGUUUAGAUAACUGGAUUUUAGUGACAGCGGUCUCGCAUUGUGAUUCAAAAAAUGAUUCUUUACCUAAUACAACAGAUAUUAGAACAUUGUUUGCAUCUAAAAGUGUUAGAGGGUGUGGAUAAUAAGAUGAUUGCAGUACAUCAGGUGCUUGGUGAAGAUGAAUUACUUUCUGCCUACUAGAUACAGGCUCAGAACUGGAGUUGGUUUCUUUGUAAUUUCAGCCACUUGUGGGACCUAUAUUGGAAACUCAAUCGGAACAGAUACUAAUACCCAGCUAUAGGACCACCAUGUUUUUAGGUAGAGUAUGGGAGCUCAGUUCAAAGUUGCACACUGUUGUUACUGUGUAACAGUCUUUAUUUAAAAAACCAGUCAGUUAGUUAAAUUUAAAAAGUAGCUUUCCAUGAUCAUUUGUUACCAUGCCUCUUUGGUGCCUUUGAUGAGCUCUGUCUGUUUUAUAGUCUUAUUACUUUGGAACCUGCAUCAUACUAACUGCAACGGUAGUUAAGGUACAUUUACAGUACAAGCCAUUAUAUUGAUCCUAUCGAAAUACAACAUAUGUUUAAAUAACUCAUGAUCUGUUCCUUUGAUGACAUUAUUCACGUCAAGAUAUAACAAUUUCAGAAUACAAAUUGUGAGUAAUUUAGUUUGUGAAAACAAUACUGGGAAACUCUCAAUUAGACACUAUGUACUUGGAGAACCUGAAUCGAGGUAGUGUCAAAUACUAGCGACUAUCUUUGGAAAUUAUAUAUCUACCAGAAGGAGAAGAGGAGCAUCAUCGUACAUUGACAGUAUGUGAGGGACGCCACCGUUCUGUUAUCAUUGCACGAUGUGGAAAUUUCAAAGAGAUGAUAAGUAAUGUACCAUUAGUUUGCCAUGUAUCUCCAAGGGGGAGUGUUUAUGAUGAACAAGAGAAACCUGCUAGAAGACAUUCUCAUUAAUUCAAUGGAUGCGGCCACGGAAAAGAAAGUUUUGACCCAUAACAUGGAAGAUCUGAUGAUAUAAAAGGCAGUGCACUCAAAUGAAGGCUUAGACUUCUUACAUCAAGUGCGUUCAACAUUGAGGCGCCUCUCGACUAAAUGGUCUCUGUAGCUACCAAAAACACUAGGCAAAACGAAUAUGAGGCUGUUGAGUAGAGUAGCAGCAGAAAUAGUAUGUAUCAUGUGGCCUUAAGGUUUUUGUAUGGGGCUAUUGGAAUAUCAUUCAAAUUUAACAAAUGAGAUGUUGCA
Lolium rigidum is the source of this 1568-nucleotide long non-coding RNA. RefSeq lists it as uncharacterized. The record is from RefSeq and is a predicted model, not a curated record. Lineage: Eukaryota; Viridiplantae; Streptophyta; Magnoliopsida; Poales; Poaceae. The transcript has 3 exons.